This is a non-coding RNA of Vigna angularis (adzuki bean), 75 nucleotides long. The record is from Rfam. NCBI's taxonomy places the organism in Eukaryota, Viridiplantae, Streptophyta, Magnoliopsida, Fabales, Fabaceae.
GAGUUAUGAUGAUUUUUACAUUGGUCCGUGUUUCUGAAUCACCAUGACCGACGAACACUACCAAUUUCUGAUCUC